RNAcentral lists this long non-coding RNA (191 nucleotides) under Mustela putorius furo (domestic ferret). RNAcentral's name for it is "lncRNA (ENSMPUG00000028284.1)". Lineage: Eukaryota; Metazoa; Chordata; Mammalia; Carnivora; Mustelidae. The record is from RNAcentral.
GCCAAAGGCAGCUACUUUCUUCUGAAGCUCAGGUUCCCUGUCCGGACAUGAGUUUUCUGUUAGGUCUAGGUCCCAGGGAGGAGUAAGGGAAAAGUUCAAAGGGCAGACAGCAGCCAAGUCACCAUCUUGCUGUCACCGAACUAGGGAGAGAAGGUAAGUGAAUACAAAAUAGACUGUGUUGUGUUCUGUGU